GGAUUAGAUACCCUGGUAGUCCACGCCGUAAACGAUGUCUACUAGUUGUCGGUUGUCUUGUACGACGGGUAACGCAGCUAACGCGAUAAGUAGACCGCCUGGGGAGUACGGCCGCAAGGUUAAAACUCAAAGGAAUUGACGGGGGCCCGCACAAGCGGUGGAAUAUGUGGUUUAAUUCGACGCAACGCGCAGAACCUUACCCAGACUUGACAUGCUCGGAAGUCGCUGGAAACAGCUUCGUGCCCUUCGGGGAGCCGAGACACAGGUGCUGCAUGGCUGUCGUCAGCUCGUGUUG
Molecule: ribosomal RNA, 295 nt
Filed under: uncultured bacterium
Lineage: Bacteria
Description: partial 16S ribosomal RNA
Rfam family: Bacterial small subunit ribosomal RNA
Source: RNAcentral